UUCAAUGGGCCUUUUGCUGUGUAUCAUGACUUUGUCCCAUCGGCUAAUCAAUGGGGAGAGCCGAAGUCAUACUGCCCUGUUGGAUCUCCAGCUUUUGGGUCAAUUAUUUCGCUCUUAUCAAGUUGCCUUCAACAGGUACAUAUUGACCUGACGUUGUAGUGUUUCUGCCAUCAUUAUUUUUCUUGGUUAUUAAAUCACUCAAGUCUACUUUUUGUGUGGAAGAGGAGUGUUCAGGCGAUGAAAUAUGCUCUGUGUAAUAUCAAUGAUUGUCAAAAUUUAAACUGGAUAGACUGAGGCUAUACUUAAAAGACUCAUCCUUCUUUUGAACUCUGAAUCACUCUUAGCGGUAGAUGGUUCUCAUCUCUAAACUUUUGACGGUUGCAGGUCAAGAAUGACAUUGCGCGAGGGAAAGAAUUGCUUAAACCAGGAAUAUCCGCAUCACAUUUUGAUCUACCUAAAACAUUAUUCUUUGGAUUCAGCAAGGGUGGCACUGUACUUAACCAGCU
RNAcentral lists this long non-coding RNA (506 nucleotides) under Prunus persica (peach). Its description in RNAcentral is "long non-coding RNA (PPER_LNC002646)". Lineage: Eukaryota; Viridiplantae; Streptophyta; Magnoliopsida; Rosales; Rosaceae. The record is from RNAcentral.